UACGUAGGGGGCUAGCGUUGUCCGGAAUUAUUGGGCGUAAAGAGCGCGUAGGCGGCUCGGUAAGCCGGAUGUGAAACCUCCAAGCUCAACUUGGAGCGGCCAUUCGGAACUGCCGUGGCUAGAGUCUGGUAGGGGAACACGGAAUUCCUGGUGUAGCGGUGAAAUGCUUAGAUAUCAGGAGGAACACCAGUGGCGAAGGCGGUGUUCUGGGCCAGUACUGACGCUGAGGCGCGAAAGCGUGGGGAGCGAACAGG
Molecule: ribosomal RNA, 254 nt
Filed under: uncultured bacterium
Lineage: Bacteria
Description: partial 16S ribosomal RNA
Rfam family: Bacterial small subunit ribosomal RNA
Source: RNAcentral